RNAcentral lists this ribosomal RNA (900 nucleotides) under Triticum aestivum (bread wheat). RNAcentral's name for it is "partial small subunit ribosomal RNA". The record is from RNAcentral. Lineage: Eukaryota; Viridiplantae; Streptophyta; Magnoliopsida; Poales; Poaceae.
GUUAUUUUCUUAGGUGAUUUAGAAAACAUUAUGUGCAAUUCGGACUCAGCCUCUGGUAAUGUUAAUAAGCUUCGCAUACAUUAUUUUAAUGCUUGUGUGAAGGAAUGUGGUUUCUUUGAUUUGGGUUUUAGUGGUCCUGCUUAUACGUGGAUGAACAAGCGUUUCUCUUAUAAACCAGUGUUUGAACGCCUUGAUAGAUGCCUUGUUAAUGCCGAAUGGUGUGUUGCUUUUCCUAAUACUAAUGUCUUCAAUUUGCCAAUUAUGUUGAGUGAUCAUGCUCCCAUUCUUGUUUCCAUUGAAUCUCAGUUUCGUAGACCUAAGCUUAAUUUUAAGUUUGAGAAUUGGUGGACUAUGGAGAGUGAUUUUCAUUGCACAGCCAAAUCGGCCUCGCUCUCUUCGGCGACUAAACCUUUCCAUGCUAGAACUUCUAAUCUUGCGGGUACAUUGAAGCGGUGGUGCAAAAAGAAAAGGCCAAUCUCACAACAAUUGGACAAAAUCCAAGAGCAGAUUAAUGAAAUCCAGAUGCAAUCUGUUCAUAUGCAAGAUCACUCUCUCGAAUUAAGCCUAAUUUCUCAAUAUGAAGAAUGCAUGACUAAGUUGACAGAAUUUUAUAGACAACGUGCGAAAAAACAUUGGGCCACAAAAGGAGAUAGAAAUACGUCUUUCUUUCAUAAUGCUGUUCAAAAACGUAGAAGACGUAACAGAACUGUUUCCAUCAGAGAUAUUCAUGCUAAAACUCUUCAUGAUCCGGAUGAUAUAGCUAAUGAAUUUGUGACUUAUUUCCAUAAUAUUUUCGACUCCUCUUGUGAUAACAAUGACAGGCCAUUCUUGGGCACUACUCAUCCGCAAGAUCAGCAAGUUUUCACGAACUCCAUCCCGGACAAGGAAGAAAUAUGGUAA